CCGGCACGGGUGAGUAACGCGUAUCCAACCUGCCGUCUACUCUUGGACAGCCUUCUGAAAGGAAGAUUAAUACAAGAUGGCAUCAUGAGUCCGCAUGUUCACAUGAUUAAAGGUAUUCCGGUAGACGAUGGGGAUGCGUUCCAUUAGAUAGUAGGCGGGGUAACGGCCCACCUAGUCUUCGAUGGAUAGGGGUUCUGAGAGGAAGGUCCCCCACAUUGGUACUGAGACACGGACCAA
Molecule: ribosomal RNA, 237 nt
Filed under: uncultured bacterium
Lineage: Bacteria
Description: partial 16S ribosomal RNA
Rfam family: Bacterial small subunit ribosomal RNA
Source: RNAcentral